AGACCCGAAACCCGGUGAUCUAGCCAUGGGCAGGUUGAAGGUUGGGUAACACUAACUGGAGGACCGAACCGACUAAUGUUGAAAAAUUAGCGGAUGACCUGUGGCUGGGGGUGAAAGGCCAAUCAAACCGGGAGAUAGCUGGUUCUCCCCGAAAGCUAUUUAGGUAGCGCCUCGUGAAUUCAUCUCCGGGGGUAGAGCACUGUUUCGGCUAGGGGGCCAUCCCGGCUUACCAACCCGAUGCAAACUGCGAAUACCGGAGAAUGUUAUCACGGGAGACACACGGCGGGUGCUAACGUCCGUCGUGAAGAGGGAAACAACCCAGACCGCCAGCUAAGGUCCCAAAGUCAUGGUUAAGUGGGAAACGAUGUGGGAAGGCCCAGACAGCCAGGAUGUUGGCUUAGAAGCAGCCAUCAUUUAAAGAAAGCGUAAUAGCUCACUGGUCGAGUCGGCCUGCGCGGAAGAUGUAACGGGGCUAAACCAUGCACCGAAGCUGCGGCAGCGACACUAUGUGUUGUUGGGUAGGGGAGCGUUCUGUAAGCCUGUGAAGGUGUGUCGUGAGGCAUGCUGGAGGUAUCAGAAGUGCGAAUGCUGACAUAAGUAACGAUAAAGCGGGUGAAAAGCCCGCUCGCCGGAAGACCAAGGGUUCCUGUCCAACGUUAAUCGGGGCAGGGUGAGUCGACCCCUAAGGCGAGGCCGAAAGGCGUAGUCGAUGGGAAACGGGUUAAUAUUCCCGUACUUGGUGUUACUGCGAAGGGGGGACGGAGAAGGCUAUGUUGGCCGGGCGACGGUUGUCCCGGUUUAAGCGUGUAGGUGUGUGUUCCAGGUAAAUCCGGUUCACUUUAACACUGAGGCGUGACGACGAGGCACUACGGUGCUGAAGCAACAAAUGCCCUGCUUCCAGGAAAAGCCUCUAAGCAUCAGGUAACAUCAAAUCGUACCCCAAACCGACACAGGUGGUCAGGUAGAGAAUACCAAGGCGCUUGAGAGAACUCGGGUGAAGGAACUAGGCAAAAUGGUGCCGUAACUUCGGGAGAAGGCACGCUGACACGUAGGUGAAGUGAUUUACUCAUGGAGCUGAAGUCAGUCGAAGAUACCAGCUGGCUGCAACUGUUUAUUAAAAACACAGCACUGUGCAAACACGAAAGUGGACGUAUACGGUGUGACGCCUGCCCGGUGCCGGAAGGUUAAUUGAUGGGGUCAGCGCAAGCGAAGCUCCUGAUCGAAGCCCCGGUAAACGGCGGCCGUAACUAUAACGGUCCUAAGGUAGCGAAAUUCCUUGUCGGGUAAGUUCCGACCUGCACGAAUGGCGUAAUGAUGGCCAGGCUGUCUCCACCCGAGACUCAGUGAAAUUGAACUCGCUGUGAAGAUGCAGUGUACCCGCGGCAAGACGGAAAGACCCCGUGAACCUUUACUAUAGCUUGACACUGAACAUUGAGCCUUGAUGUGUAGGAUAGGUGGGAGGCUUUGAAGUGUGGACGCCAGUCUGCAUGGAGCCGACCUUGAAAUACCACCCUUUAAUGUUUGAUGUUCUAACGUGGACCCGUGAUCCGGGUUGCGGACAGUGUCUGGUGGGUAGUUUGACUGGGGCGGUCUCCUCCUAAAGAGUAACGGAGGAGCACGAAGGUUGGCUAAUCCUGGUCGGACAUCAGGAGGUUAGUGCAAUGGCAUAAGCCAGCUUGACUGCGAGCGUGACGGCGCGAGCAGGUGCGAAAGCAGGUCAUAGUGAUCCGGUGGUUCUGAAUGGAAGGGCCAUCGCUCAACGGAUAAAAGGUACUCCGGGGAUAACAGGCUGAUACCGCCCAAGAGUUCAUAUCGACGGCGGUGUUUGGCACCUCGAUGUCGGCUCAUCACAUCCUGGGGCUGAAGUAGGUCCCAAGGGUAUGGCUGUUCGCCAUUUAAAGUGGUACGCGAGCUGGGUUUAGAACGUCGUGAGACAGUUCGGUCCCUAUCUGCCGUGGGCGCUGGAGAACUGAGGGGGGCUGCUCCUAGUACGAGAGGACCGGAGUGGACGCAUCACUGGUGUUCGGGUUGUCAUGCCAAUGGCACUGCCCGGUAGCUAAAUGCGGAAGAGAUAAGUGCUGAAAGCAUCUAAGCACGAAACUUGCCCCGAGAUGAGUUCUCCCUGAGACUUAAAGUCUCCUGAAGGAACGUUGAAGACGACGACGUUGAUAGGCCGGGUGUGUAAGCGCAGCGAUGCGUUGAGCUAACCGGUACUAAUGAACCGUGAGGCUUAACCUUACA
RNAcentral lists this ribosomal RNA (2241 nucleotides) under Salmonella enterica. RNAcentral describes it as "partial 23S ribosomal RNA". It matches the Rfam family "Bacterial large subunit ribosomal RNA", at positions 711 to 2925 of the family's 2925-position model. The record is from RNAcentral. Lineage: Bacteria; Pseudomonadati; Pseudomonadota; Gammaproteobacteria; Enterobacterales; Enterobacteriaceae.